This 73-nucleotide transfer RNA is filed under the name candidate division MSBL1 archaeon SCGC-AAA382A13. RNAcentral's name for it is "tRNA-Leu". It matches the Rfam family "tRNA". Rfam says of the family: Transfer RNA (tRNA) molecules are approximately 80 nucleotides in length. Their secondary structure includes four short double-helical elements and three loops (D, anti-codon, and T loops). The record is from RNAcentral. RNAcentral also lists the same sequence under 1 other name. Lineage: Archaea; Methanobacteriati; Methanobacteriota.
GCCCCGGUAGUGUAGGGGCUUAGCCACCAGCCAUCAGAAGGCCAUGACCCGGGUUCGAAUCCCGGCCGGGGCG